ACAAUGCCAUUAAAAAUGAAUACUGCCGUGCAAAAAUAGACAUGACUCAUGAACCAUAUGUUCUUUGGAACCUUUAUCUGUCGCUCUCUUCAAUAAUCUCAUGAAGGAAGUGAACCGAAGGAGGAAAAAGUCAAGAAACAUAUGCCUCUUUUUUUGAAGAAGCCCAAAAGUGCCAUGGAGGGUGGUCCAAGCCUUUGCUCACUUCCCUGAGGAAACACAGACCCUCCAUGCUUUAAAGUGGAAUGAAGCUAAAGCCACUUUAUCUAAAAGAGCAUCUGAAUUUUUGCCGUUGCCCAACGCCUUCUAUCUGAGGAUCGCCGUGCCCUUCAGCGGCAGCUGCCAGGUCUCCGAGGCAUGCUCUGACAGGGCAGGGUUAUCUCUGUGCCUCAGUUUCCUUUCUGGGACGCUGCUGACCUGCGGCUGACACAGAGCUACUAAAGUCUGACACCCACGCUUUUGUUAAUGCACAGGAAUGGUUGAUCUGGCACUUUGAGGGCGACUGGCCACCCCCAGGGCGAUGAACAUUUUUCAGCAAAGGGUCAUCUGGAAGCAGCUCAGCUCCAGAGACCUGACAGGGGUGUGGAGUUCUGAGUGGGACAGACUCCCAGUAAAAGGGUUCUAGUGGCCACAGUUCUCCAAGACUCUGUCUGCUCCUUGCUUUCUCAAAAUGUCUGCAGAGCUAGUUAAGAGUCGCGCUCCUGACAGCAAAGACAGUAAUUUAAUGCUAUGAGACACUGCUGUUUUGGCAAGCCUGCCUGAAAUACAAACAUCAGCGCCUGGCAUGGGCCCUGCCCAGCUCAGCAAUAGCAGCAGCAUUGUCUAACCUGCUCAUGUAGGAAGCAAGGCAGGGAGCUGGGCUUCGGCUCCCGGGUCCAGCCGCAGCUCAGCGAGUGGCUCGGGCAUCUGGGCCUGUCUCCUGACCUCCCGUGCUUUCCUAUUCCCAUUGCCAGGAUGGAGAUACUCAAAGCCUGGCUACCUACCUCCUUCAGGAAAGAACAACUCAAGGAGGAGAGCACAUCGCCCUAACCCUUCCACCAGCACCAGGCCGGGGGACCCUUUGCAGCAACAGCCAGAGCAGAUGCCAGGAUCUGUUUUGAGGAAAAUCUCAGCCCAUUAGCCAGAUGUACAAAACCAAGCGGUUGUACCCUGGUUAUUAAAAAUGAAACAGAUUCAUUAAAA
This is a long non-coding RNA of Pipistrellus kuhlii (Kuhl's pipistrelle), 1179 nucleotides long. RefSeq lists it as uncharacterized. The transcript has 3 exons. The record is from RefSeq and is a predicted model, not a curated record. Lineage: Eukaryota; Metazoa; Chordata; Mammalia; Chiroptera; Vespertilionidae.